GUGCUCGAUUGGGUAACAUAUACUAAAAUUGUGACAAUACAGAUAAUAUGAGCAUGGAAAUGACACACAAUUCUUGAGGCGUUCUUAAUUUUU
RNAcentral lists this small nuclear RNA (93 nucleotides) under Echinops telfairi (small Madagascar hedgehog). Lineage: Eukaryota; Metazoa; Chordata; Mammalia; Afrosoricida; Tenrecidae. The record is from RNAcentral.